GUCCACUCUUAGAGUGGCCUCAGCUGGGACCAUGACUACUACCCUGGGUUCUCCUGAGCUCAUCUGACAGUGAGAGGGGUCAGGCUUGGACCUGUGAUUUCACAGGCACAGGAAGCGCCUCUCUCCCAAAGCGGCCCGGCACGCCCGGCCAGGGCUCGGUCAGGCCGCUCAAGGUGACCCUACCGGCCAAAGCCAGGUCUUCCUGGUCACUAAAGGAGAAGUUGCACCCGAACCCACUCACCGAUGGCCUAAUGCGUUUGGCUCCUGCGCCUUAUUUUAAUUUUCUUCGGGUCUUUUUUGUUUCAAUUGUUUCUAGUAAAAAUGAAACGUCUCCUUUUUUAAAAAAAUUUUUAAAUGUUUUCCUAAUUUAAAACGUUAGCUCCUGCACCCAAACAUAUUUCGCUCUCACCGGGUAAAGAAGAUGUUGACGCAUGCCCAGAAAACCUAGGGUGCAGUCACCCAGCGGGGGUCCCCGGCCAAGGGGAAACACGCGACACAUGCGUAGACGUGCCUACCACGUGGUGGCAGCAGCCUCUUUCUAUUGGCUGCGAGCCGAAACUGCCUGCGUCUUUUAAUCUACUCCUUACUUAGAGAUUUCUUCAUUUAAAAAAAAAGAAUCACUCCGUAUCACAUGAGCCACUCCAAAAUUAAAAAACAACAGCAGCAACCUUCCCUUCUCACAAGUAAACCUAAAGCAGCCCACUUAAACGCAGCCGUGGUUUGUCAAUUCUGUGAAGACUUUCUAAGCAAGGAGCGAGCCCAAAGAAGGCGCACAGUGACGGCCAUUUUCCAGCCUCGCUUCCAAGACAAACGUCUACGCGUUCCGGCCUUACCGAUUGGACGGGUCCUGGUCUGGCUUUUCAAUACUCUGCUCUUCCCCAAGAACGUGAAAAGAGGAGAAGGAGAAGGGAAAUGACUUCUGUGCUCCUAACAGCCAGGUCCCAGGUGAGUGAAAGACUUUCUCUUUCCUGAAAUGCCAUCCCUUUUCUCAAAGUGUGGACACUUGUCUUUGUCUUGUCUUCUGUCUUCUGCGUCAGGGAGCCAACUCAUUUUUGUACCCCCAAAGACUUUGUCAGUUUUGACAGACAAUAUAGUGUUCAUAGAUUUUUUGAUCUAGAAGGAAGGUAAUCCAAUCUCCUAAGUUUGUAAUUCACGAAACCUUAUCCUUCA
Molecule: long non-coding RNA, 1170 nt
Filed under: Phascolarctos cinereus (koala)
Lineage: Eukaryota; Metazoa; Chordata; Mammalia; Diprotodontia; Phascolarctidae
Description: lncRNA (ENSPCIG00000030767.1)
Source: RNAcentral